Molecule: long non-coding RNA, 656 nt
Filed under: Musa acuminata (dwarf banana)
Lineage: Eukaryota; Viridiplantae; Streptophyta; Magnoliopsida; Zingiberales; Musaceae
Description: long non-coding RNA (MACU_LNC006775)
Source: RNAcentral
UGGAUUAAACAGACAUCAAAACAUAUUUGAUAUUGUUGAACACUAUAAUACUAACUGUGUUCGAAGAGCAUGUAAAUAUUAAACUGCUAAUUCAUACAAAUUCUGGUUCUUCAGGAUUUACUUAAAGGGGUUGAGUUUAGUGGCUGGAAGCAUGUUCUUGGCCAAGAAUGAUACAGAAAUAAAAACCUGUAGGUGUUGCAAUUCCUGCCAUGUUGAGUCACAAAUCAUGGUAUCUCCAACAAUGCACUUGGUUGGAGAAAAAGAAGAGCAGUGGUAACAGGCACAACAAGAGAAGGAGACUGAGGUGAGGACUACAAGCUAUCAGAAAACUGUUAGCCUUCUGAUGCGCCACAGUCCAUGUCAGUCCAGUCACCUGCUGCUGCUGUGGCAUGCCACCAUUGUUGCCACUGCACCAUAAGUGAUACAGACACACAGAUGAAGGAGACUGAGGUGAGGACUACAAGCUAGUUAGCCUUCUGAUGCGCCACAGUCCAUGUCAGUCCAGUCACCUGCUGCUGCUGUGGCAUGCCACCAUUGUUGCCACUGCACCAUAAGUGAUACAGACACACAGAUGUGUGUGUGUGUGUGUGUGUGUGUGUGUGAGAGAGAGAGAGAGAGAAGGAGACUGAGGUGAGGACUACAAGCUAUCAGAAAAC